AUGUGUGGGGCUUGCAUAUCACCCAGAAGGGGAGGAACCAGGUUUUCGUCAGAGGAGUUCUUGAAUGACCUCAGACCAGAUUGAAUGACCUCAGACCAGAAGGAAUAGGCCAGCAGCGAGAACACAGCCUAGAGCAGGCUAAGAAACUUAAUGGGUAUAGCUACCUGGAUUCUAUUCAUGAUCAGAGAUUUCAUUGGCUUUGAAGCUGUCUCCAAAAUUCCAGUCCAGUCAGGAGGAUGCAGAGGUUCACAGGCAUCAGCCAUGAGUCCAGAGGCUUCUCGAGAGACGAAAUGCUGUUCUGUGCCUGAUGAAAGGCUUGAAACUGACGAGCGGAAAAGAAAUUUGUUCUAUUCUUAAAUGGGGACAAAUAAAUGAUAAAUAUCUUUUCUAACACGAUACACAAUUAAUAAAAACAAAUCAGUUUC
This 425-nucleotide long non-coding RNA is filed under the name Mus musculus (house mouse). RNAcentral describes it as "predicted gene 13299". The record is from RNAcentral. Lineage: Eukaryota; Metazoa; Chordata; Mammalia; Rodentia; Muridae.